CCCCCCCCCAGUCUAUGCAGAAUAGCUGACAUUCUUCCUUCCCUCUUAGAGGGCAGAUUAGCACCACCUGUCUUGGCUAACAUUCACGGGAUUCAGCAGGAAAACUAGUAUUAGGGAGGGAAAACUCCCUGAAUGUGGUAUUUUGGGAUUACUUCUUUGGUUGCGAAACCGCUACCUUUGUAUUCAAAGGUGAUGAGACAUUUUUCUGGCUAGAAACAGAGUUGGCGCAGUGAGGUGUCAAGUUCAAAGGAGACCCUGAAAAGAUCUAAGCCCGAUUUGAGCCAAAGCCUUGGGAGGAAGUUGCAACUGCCCUGGAGCCAAAUGCAUCCUGCAAACAGCCAAGUGGAAGAUCUCACACAGAAGCCGUUUGUAAACGGUUCCCAGGUGGCUACAACACAGCAAACUUUGAGACUUCAGACUCCCAGCGCUCAUCUUCCCAAUGAUCCAUCCCAGGAAGAGAAAGCAUGGGGAACUGAAAGCGUUGGUCAGACAGUGACGCGUGAGAGCACUGGACAAGCAACUUUCUUUAAAAGAGUUUCAUGGACAGUAUUCAUCUCCAUCAGAGAAAGCGCCCUUCUGUGUUUAUGCUUUUGCUUCUCAGGCCCAGAUGGGUAUGAGGAAGUGGGACUCAGCUCUGGACCUGCUGUGCAAGGGAGAUUCCUUUAAAAAACAACUGGAUUUUUGCAUUUGGCUCAUAGGAAACCUAAUUACACUCUACUCUCUGGUAAAUUCUCUUCAGUCUUCCAAACAUGGGGUGGGGUGGGGGGAACAGUGGCAGAAACUGAAAGGCCAAGAAAGAGAAAAGAGUGUCCCUAAGACCUAAUGAGUCCAAACUAAACACCUCUCCACAGAAAUGUCAAACAUUUCUCUUAGCACAAAACAAGGCUUAAAGAAUUCACUGCUUUUGUCUCUGGCCUAAUUCCUUAAGCAGAGAGGGGGAUUUUCCUCUGGG
RNAcentral lists this long non-coding RNA (952 nucleotides) under Mus spicilegus (steppe mouse). RNAcentral's name for it is "lncRNA (ENSMSIG00000005328.1)". Lineage: Eukaryota; Metazoa; Chordata; Mammalia; Rodentia; Muridae. The record is from RNAcentral.